This 352-nucleotide ribosomal RNA is filed under the name uncultured bacterium. RNAcentral's name for it is "bacterial SSU rRNA". It matches the Rfam family "Bacterial small subunit ribosomal RNA", at positions 505 to 855 of the family's 1533-position model. The record is from RNAcentral.
GUGCCAGCAGCCGCGGUAAUACGAAGGGUGCAAGCGUUACUCGGAAUUACUGGGCGUAAAGCGUGCGUAGGUGGUUGUUUAAGUCUGUUGUGAAAGCCCUGGGCUCAACCUGGGAAUUGCAGUGGAUACUGGGCGACUAGAGUGUGGUAGAGGGUAGUGGAAUUCCUGGUGUAGCAGUGAAAUGCGUAGAGAUCAGGAGGAACAUCCAUGGCGAAGGCAGCUACCUGGACCAACACUGACACUGAGGCACGAAAGCGUGGGGAGCAAACAGGAUUAGAUACCCUGGUAGUCCACGCCCUAAACGAUGCGAACUGGAUGUUGGGUGCAAUUUGGCACGCACUAUCCAAGCUAA